This 424-nucleotide ribosomal RNA is filed under the name uncultured bacterium. Its description in RNAcentral is "bacterial SSU rRNA". It matches the Rfam family "Bacterial small subunit ribosomal RNA", at positions 355 to 796 of the family's 1533-position model. The record is from RNAcentral.
UGGGGAAUAUUGGACAAUGGGCGCAAGCCUGAUCCAGCCAUGCCGCGUGUGUGAUGAAGGCCUUAGGGUUGUAAAGCACUUUCGCCGAUGAAGAUAAUGACGGUAGUCGGAGAAGAAGCCCCGGCUAACUUCGUGCCAGCAGCCGCGGUAAUACGAAGGGGGCAAGCGUUGUUCGGAUUUACUGGGCGUAAAGCGUACGUAGGCGGAUAUUUAAGUCAGGGGUGAAAUCCCGAGGCUCAACCUCGGAACUGCCUUUGAUACUGGGUAUCUUGAGUCCGGGAGAGGUGAGUGGAACUCCUAGUGUAGAGGUGAAAUUCGUAGAUAUUAGGAAGAACACCAGUGGCGAAGGCGGCUCACUGGCCCGGAACUGACGCUGAGGUACGAAAGCGUGGGGAGCAAACAGGAUUAGAUACCCCCGUAGUCC